AUACGAAGGGCCCAAGCGUUGCGCGAAGUUACUGGGCUUAAAGGGUGCGUAGGCGGACCCGCAAGUGCUUUGUGAAAUCCCACGGCUCAACCGUGGAAUGGCUUGGCAUACUGCGGGUCUUGAGGUCGGCAGAGGUCGCCGGAACUCUAGGUGUAGCGGUGAAAUGCGUAGAUAUCUAGAGGAACGCCCAUGGCGAAGGCAGGCGGCUGGGCCGAUUCUGACGCUGAGGCACGAAAGCGUGGGUAGCGAACGGGAUUAGAUACCCCAGUAGUCC
Molecule: ribosomal RNA, 274 nt
Filed under: uncultured bacterium
Lineage: Bacteria
Description: partial 16S ribosomal RNA
Rfam family: Bacterial small subunit ribosomal RNA
Source: RNAcentral